AGCCCAUUUAUGGUGUGCCCCGCCGUGAUACUGCUGAAAUAUAGCUAAAAGUGGCGUAAAACCAUACUCACUCACUCAUGAUUCAUGAUUUCUAAAGUUGUCUUUUGUUGGUUGAAGAUUUCUUAAAUAUUACACUAUUUUAACUCGUCUCUCUUUGAACUACAUAAAUUUUUAUUGUUUGUGUGGAAUAUUGUCCCAGAUUUUCUGAUUCAGUGUGAGAAAUGUGAAAUAAUUUAUAUUCAAGUCUGUGAUUUUGUGUUCAGUUGUAUGCAUAAUCAUCAUUGGAUGAAGUUGAAUUUGAUGCUGGCGAUGAUACAACUGUUAUUUAGUGCUGGAAUACCAAUAGGUAAAUAAUAGCUUUUGAGGACACAAUUUAUGAUAUUACUACAAAUCAAAAGUUCUGUUUCACCUGUUUUGGGUGGCUUUAUGCUUUUUAGAUGUGUCUUUAGUAAUCCUUUUGAUGUUUAGAGAAAGUCUAAAGCAAGAUGUCAGGGCCUAGAUUUUCGAAGCUCUCUUAGUGCUAAGAUAGUCGUAAGUUAAUGUUAAUGUGUGGCACUUACGACUAUUGUAGCGCUUAGAGAGCCUCAAAAAUCUAGGCCCAGGUGUUUGUAUCGUAACAUUGUGAGUCUGACAUGUCCGAUGUUGGGAAUAUAAGAAACAGAGGUCAUACUUGGUUAUCAAGUGUGACAUGUCCGAUGUUGGGAAUAUAAGAAACAGAGGUCAUACUUGGUUAUCAAGUGUGACAAGUCCGAUGUUGGGAA
This is a long non-coding RNA of Haliotis rubra (blacklip abalone), 761 nucleotides long. RefSeq lists it as uncharacterized. The transcript is spliced from 2 exons. The record is from RefSeq and is a predicted model, not a curated record. Lineage: Eukaryota; Metazoa; Mollusca; Gastropoda; Lepetellida; Haliotidae.